UAGCACACGGAAAAUUAUGGCUCCCAUUAGUAGUAGUGUGAAAUUGUUGGAAAUAUGACGAAAUUAUUGCAACGCAUUUUAGUUAUAUUUCUACUUUCCGCUGCUGUUAAUGGCGUUACAGCGAAAGUCGAAAAUUUGGAAUACAAUCAUUUGAAAGACUACAAAACAGUUGACGAUGACGCUGUACAAAUUCCUGUCAAAAAUGACGUAGAAAAUGGAGUAUCCAACGUGAAAAAUCAGGGCAAAAACGAAGAUGGAACACUAUUAUUAUUAAAUACGUUGAGAAGUAGAAUGGAAGCCAAUAACUACGACGAAAAAAUGAAGGGCCAUGCGUUGAUAUAUGAUAGAGAAAGCGGCCGUCCCGUAGGAAGAAUUAGGUUUUCAUCAAUCAUGGGUUUCGUAAAAACAAUGACAAACUUAUUCCAUAUAACCAAAGACGCAAUACAUAAAAAACGUCAAGGCUAAUAUAGCUAUCCCUGAUCAACAAAAAACUGCUGCUUAGUAAUUUGCGUUCCACUAUCAACGACAGGACCUUUCAAUCCAUGCCCAACAAAAAGGGAGAAAAGAAAUAAAUUGAAAGAAUAAACAAAUUAUGUAAAAA
Aricia agestis (brown argus) is the source of this 601-nucleotide long non-coding RNA. RefSeq lists it as uncharacterized. The transcript is spliced from 2 exons. The record is from RefSeq and is a predicted model, not a curated record. Lineage: Eukaryota; Metazoa; Arthropoda; Insecta; Lepidoptera; Lycaenidae.